UUGUGAUGAAACCUAAACUAAAAGCUGGAAUUACCGGCAGAUUGUUUAGUGUUGAUUAUUGGUUUUCUGAAU
This 72-nucleotide small nucleolar RNA is filed under the name Salarias fasciatus (jewelled blenny). Lineage: Eukaryota; Metazoa; Chordata; Actinopteri; Blenniiformes; Blenniidae. The record is from RNAcentral.